UAGGACACGCUGGCGGCGUGCCUAAUACAUGCAAGUCGAACGGUCUUUCUAUGGAAGCUUGCUUCCACUGAGAAGAUAGUGGCGAACGGGUGAGUAACACGUGGGUAACCUGCCCAUAAGAGGGGGAUAACAUCCGGAAACGGGUGCUAAUACCGCAUAGUUUUUCUUGAUCGCAUGAUUGAGAAAGGAAAGACGGCCUUUGUGCUGUCGCUUAUGGAUGGACCCGCGGCGUAUUAGUUAGUUGGUGAGGUAACGGCUCACCAAGACGAUGAUACGUAGCCGACCUGAGAGGGUGAUCGGCCACAUUGGGACUGAGACACGGCCCAAACUCCUACGGGAGGCAGCAGUAGGGAAUCUUCCGCAAUGGACGAAAGUCUGACGGAGCAACGCCGCGUGAGUGAAGAAAGGUUUUCGGAUCGUAAAACUCUGUUGUCAGAGAAGAACAAGUUGGAGAGUAACUGCUCCAGCCUUGACGGUAUCUGACCAGAAAGCCACGGCUAACUACGUGCCAGCAGCCGC
RNAcentral lists this ribosomal RNA (519 nucleotides) under uncultured bacterium. RNAcentral describes it as "bacterial SSU rRNA". It matches the Rfam family "Bacterial small subunit ribosomal RNA", at positions 33 to 518 of the family's 1533-position model. The record is from RNAcentral.